AUUGAACGCUGGCGGCAGGCCUAACACAUGCCAGUCGAGCGGAUGAAGGGAGCUUGCUCCUGGAUUCAGCGGCGGACGGGUGAGUAAUGCCUAGGAAUCUGCCUGGUAGUGGGGGAUAACGUCCGGAAACGGGCGCUAAUACCGCAUACGUCCUGAGGGAGAAAGUGGGGGAUCUUCGGACCUCACGCUAUCAGAUGAGCCUAGGUCGGAUUAGCUAGUUGGUGGGGUAAAGGCCUACCAAGGCGACGAUCCGUAACUGGUCUGAGAGGAUGAUCAGUCACACGGGAACUGAGACACGGUCCAGACUCCUACGGGAGGCAGCAGUGGGGAAUAUUGGACAAUGGGCGAAAGCCUGAUCCAGCCAUGCCGCGUGUGUGAAGAAGGUCUUCGGAUUGUAAAGCACUUUAAGUUGGGAGGAAGGGCAGUAAGUUAAUACCUUACUGUUUUGACGUUACCAACAGAAUAAGCACCGGCUAACUUCGUG
Molecule: ribosomal RNA, 484 nt
Filed under: uncultured bacterium
Lineage: Bacteria
Description: partial 16S ribosomal RNA
Rfam family: Bacterial small subunit ribosomal RNA
Source: RNAcentral